This 274-nucleotide ribosomal RNA is filed under the name uncultured Streptococcaceae bacterium. Its description in RNAcentral is "partial 16S ribosomal RNA". It matches the Rfam family "Bacterial small subunit ribosomal RNA", at positions 505 to 779 of the family's 1533-position model. The record is from RNAcentral. Lineage: Bacteria; Bacillati; Bacillota; Bacilli; Lactobacillales; Streptococcaceae.
GUGCCAGCAGCCGCGGUAAUACGUAGGUCCCGAGCGUUGUCCGGAUUUAUUGGGCGUAAAGCGAGCGCAGGCGGUUAGAUAAGUCUGAAGUUAAAGGCUGUGGCUUAACCAUAGUACGCUUUGGAAACUGUUUAACUUGAGUGCAGAAGGGGAGAGUGGAAUUCCAUGUGUAGCGGUGAAAUGCGUAGAUAUAUGGAGGAACACCGGUGGCGAAAGCGGCUCUCUGGUCUGUAACUGACGCUGAGGCUCGAAAGCGUGGGGAGCGAACAGGAUU